GAAAUGCGAUAAGUAAUGUGAAUUGCAGAAUUCAGUGAAUCAUCGAAUCUUUGAACGCACAUUGCGCCCGCCAGUAUUAUGGCGGGCAAGCCUGUUCGAGCGUCAUUACAACCCUCAGGCCCCCGGGCCUGGCGUUGGGGAUCGGCGGAAGCCCCCUGCGGGCACAACGCCGUCCCCCAAAUACAGUGGCGGUCCCGCCGCAGCUUCCAUUGCGUAGUAGCUAACACCUCGCAACUGGAGAGCGGCGCGGCCACGCCGUAAAACACCCAACUUCUGAAUGUUGACCUCGAAUCAGGUAGGAAUACCCGCUGAACUUAAGC
RNAcentral lists this unclassified non-coding RNA (320 nucleotides) under plant metagenome. RNAcentral describes it as "partial contains 5.8S ribosomal RNA, internal transcribed spacer 2, and large subunit ribosomal RNA". The stretch from base 1 to 105 matches the Rfam family "5.8S ribosomal RNA", at positions 50 to 154 of the family's 154-position model. The record is from RNAcentral.